RNAcentral lists this ribosomal RNA (253 nucleotides) under uncultured bacterium. RNAcentral's name for it is "partial 16S ribosomal RNA". It matches the Rfam family "Bacterial small subunit ribosomal RNA", at positions 524 to 776 of the family's 1533-position model. The record is from RNAcentral.
UACGUAGGGUGCGAGCGUUGUCCGGAAUUAUUGGGCGUAAAGGGCUCGUAGGCGGUUUGUCACGUCAGGAGUGAAAACUCGGGGCUCAACCCCGAGCCUGCUUCUGAUACGGGCAGACUGGAGGUAUGCAGGGGAGAACGGAAUUCCUGGUGUAGCGGUGAAAUGCGCAGAUAUCAGGAGGAACACCAAUGGCGAAGGCAGCUCGCUGGGACGUGACUGACGCUGAGACGCGAAAGCGUGGGGAGCAAACAGG